AGGCGACUCACCUUGGGCCACGUGGACUCAGGCUUCCCUGGAAACCUCAGGAAGAAACCCUUCUAGGACGCGGCCUCAGAGCCAGCCCCCAGAAGACCCACAAAACAGCACCUAGGCUUCCAUCUGGGUCUCCAGAGCAUGCAUGCGCCGCCUCCACAUGAGGAGGGACUUCCUGACAGUCAGACAGUGGAACACACUCCUUCCUCGGAAUGUGGAGGAACUUCCCUCCCUGGAGGCCAGCGUCGGUCCCUCUCUGGGAGAAAUGUGGCAUAAAAAUAGAAGAAGCUUCUUUCUUUCAGUUCAUCUCAAAUGUGUUACAAGAUCCCUUUGCAUACUGAUAUUCCAUACUAACAUGGCUAUGCCUCCUGUUAGUACUCUACAGAAAGCAGCACUUCUUAAUGUCUUUUACUUGGAGGUGAUGAGAAAAUCCAGAAUGAAACCCUUGGAAUGACAUGGGACAAUAAGGAAAGGAUUUGGAAAGGAGGACAAAACAAUAAAGUAAAGUAAAAAUUCAA
This is a long non-coding RNA of Sceloporus undulatus (fence lizard), 515 nucleotides long. RefSeq lists it as uncharacterized. The record is from RefSeq and is a predicted model, not a curated record. The transcript is spliced from 2 exons. NCBI's taxonomy places the organism in Eukaryota, Metazoa, Chordata, Lepidosauria, Squamata, Phrynosomatidae.